GAAAUGCGAAACGUAAUGUGAUUUGCAUACUGUAGAACAUCGAAUUCUUGAACGCAUAUUGCACCUUAGGGUUAUUCCUUGAGGAGUACUUGUUCGAGCGCCGGUAGAAUUUUAAGGCUUUGCCUUGCGUUGACGGUUCCAAGCAAUUGUAACUGUCUAAACUCGUCGGACUACUUCUGUGCCUGAAGUACAACAAAAUGUAUGACAGUCUCAAAAAAGGUCCUUAAACACGACAGCAUGGCCUCGGAUCAAGUAAGAUUACCCGCUGAACUUAA
RNAcentral lists this unclassified non-coding RNA (275 nucleotides) under uncultured fungus. RNAcentral describes it as "sequence contains ITS1". The stretch from base 1 to 103 matches the Rfam family "5.8S ribosomal RNA", at positions 50 to 154 of the family's 154-position model. The record is from RNAcentral. Lineage: Eukaryota; Fungi.